Long non-coding RNA from Eurytemora carolleeae, 367 nucleotides. RefSeq lists it as uncharacterized. The record is from RefSeq and is a predicted model, not a curated record. The transcript has 2 exons. NCBI's taxonomy places the organism in Eukaryota, Metazoa, Arthropoda, Copepoda, Calanoida, Temoridae.
AUUAUAGAAUUAUUAUAUAUUAAGAUGAAAGCUUGGGAUGUAGGUCUGACCGUCUGUUCACCCUUUUGAAAUCGGCUCAAGAGGAUAUAUUUCACCAUCAAACAAAGUUAACAAAUAUGGGGAUUGCUGGAUUUGCUAGAGGCCUCUAUAUUUUCUACAAGACAGGGUCCAAGAGACUUUAUUUCUAAAAACCGCCUCUUGCUGAUUCUGAAUAGUGGAACAGCAAAAGGUCUUGUAUGGCACCUGUUUUUUGGCCGACCCCAUGUCAAUCAUAAUAUGGGAAACCCAGACGAAAAGUAUUAGUAUUAAAUUGUAAUUUUUAUAUUGUUUAAUUGUUAUUUGAUUAUUAUUAUAAAUUAUUAUUUGA